AUGCGCCUGCACCGGCAACCUCUGCCUCCAACAAUGGGCAGCGAGCAGGCCGCUGUUGUCCGCCUCCUCGCCAUGGCCCCUCACAAGAUCCCUCUGAUGCCUUGCAUCACCUCCUGCCUCCCGCGUGCCUCCCUCUGCAGCGCCAGGCUGCGAGAGCGCUUCCUCCCUGUCAAGUCCCAUCGCCCGAGUGCUCGAGGAGAGGAGCUCCUCAAGCACCUGCGCCCACACCCCGCGUCCUCCGCGCCCAUCAAGAGCCCCAGCACUGGCCGCCCUACACCCGCGAGCACCACCACCUCCGGCGCGUCUCAGCUCUGUUUCCAGCGACCUGGACCUCCCCUACGCCAAUCCCCUGCAUCAAGAAGUAGUAGCUCGACUGCUGCGCACAACCCUGCGUUUGACUCUGGGAGCACCUUCGGGUCUUCCCCAACUUCGUGUCUUAUUUUUGGAUCAUGCCAAGAUCAGGGCCCUAGCACCACGACGACCGACGCAAGUUCCACUACCGUCAGUGUGCAUUUUGCCAAGUCCGACUAUGACAUGAACGACUACACAAAGACCCCGAAGAACAUGGAUUCAUCAAGUUCCUCCAUGAAAUGUGUACCAUCUGCUGCCCGAACAUCUACGGAAUGUGUACCACAACCAUCGCCGAAGACCCAUGAACGACUACCGAUGACCCUCCAAGUUCGUCCAUGA
Molecule: ribosomal RNA, 690 nt
Filed under: Triticum aestivum (bread wheat)
Lineage: Eukaryota; Viridiplantae; Streptophyta; Magnoliopsida; Poales; Poaceae
Description: partial small subunit ribosomal RNA
Source: RNAcentral